This 376-nucleotide ribosomal RNA is filed under the name uncultured bacterium. RNAcentral's name for it is "bacterial SSU rRNA". It matches the Rfam family "Bacterial small subunit ribosomal RNA", at positions 523 to 898 of the family's 1533-position model. The record is from RNAcentral.
AUACGUAGGGGGCAAGCGUUGUCCGGAAUUAUUGGGCGUAAAGCGCGCGCAGGCGGCCUUUUAAGUCUGGGGUAUAAUCCGGGGGCUCAACCCCGGUUCGCCUUGGAAACUGGGAGGCUUGAGUGCAGGAGAGGGAAGUGGAAUUCCACGUGUAGCGGUGAUAUGCGUAGAGAUGUGGAGGAACACCAGUGGCGAAGGCGACUUCCUGGCCUGUAACUGACGCUGAGGCGCGAAAGCGUGGGGAGCGAACAGGAUUAGAUACCCUGGUAGUCCACGCCGUAAACGAUGAGUGCUAGGUGUUGGGGGUUUCGAUACCCUCGGUGCCGAAGUCAACACAGUAAGCACUCCGCCUGGGGAGUACGUUCGCAAGAAUGAA